Molecule: non-coding RNA, 92 nt
Filed under: Clostridium magnum
Lineage: Bacteria; Bacillati; Bacillota; Clostridia; Eubacteriales; Clostridiaceae
Also listed under: 1 other name
Description: Glycine sequence
Rfam family: Glycine riboswitch aptamer
About the family: This family represents the bacterial glycine riboswitch. Glycine riboswitches usually consist of two metabolite-binding aptamers domains with similar structures in tandem. The aptamers cooperatively bind glycine to regulate the expression of downstream genes.
Source: RNAcentral
GGACGAAACUCUGAAGAGCCUGUUUUAGAAACAGCACCAAAGGUGAAAGAUAUAUUAUCGAAACUCUCGGGUAAAUGAACAGAGGAUGUGUG